CAUUGCGAAAAGUCAUGCGACCUGCACUCUUUGAGAAGCAUUACUCUUUGAACGCACCUUGCGCGCAUUAACUUAUUAGUGCGAGGUCCUGUUUGAGCAUUUACUAGUUACGGUUAUAGGUGGUUGCUUUUACUCUUUCUUGAAAUUGAAAUGGCAACUGAAAAGAAUGCGGGAGCCCAAACGACUCUAGGGCAAGAGGUUGCAGCCAUGCGACCAUGCGAGAAACGUAGCGCGACAAGCACCACUACGAUCAAGCAUACCGCUUUGCUGGUUGACGACUAACCCUCGACAAUGACCAGAAAAAUACAUUACAUUAAUCUCAAAUCAGGAUAGAGGACCCGCUGAACUUAAGCAUAUCAGUAAGCGGAGGAAAAGAAACUAACGAGGAUUCCCCCAGUAACGGCGAGUGAAGCGGGAGCAGCCCAUGAAGGAAUCAUGCAGUGGCAUGAAAUGUGUCGUGGAGAGGGGCGAGCGCAAACUAGCAGUGGUAGUGAGUUCCCUGGAAAGGGACGGCAUAGAGGGUGAAACCCCCGUGACAACCAUUCAAGUAGUGACUUGCCCCCCAGCGAGUCGGAUUGUUUGGGAAUGCAAUCCCAAUUGGGUGGUACGCGCCAUCUAAGGCUAAACAAGGGCAAGAGACCGAUAGCAAACAAGUACCGUGAGGGAAAGAUGAAAAGGACUCUGAAGAGAGAGUCAAAAGUGCGUGAAAUUGCGGCAAGGGAAACGAACGAAGGGAGAAGGAGGGAAAGGAUAAGGGGUGGAUUGGAGGUGAUUGGAGGUGGCAGGUCACACUGCACAUAGAGCAAUGACCAACUAGUCUACACUUUAACCGUUCACUUGGGCCCCUCGUUUGACCCGUCUUG
This 863-nucleotide ribosomal RNA is filed under the name uncultured fungus. RNAcentral's name for it is "eukaryotic LSU rRNA". The stretch from base 315 to 863 matches the Rfam family "Eukaryotic large subunit ribosomal RNA", at positions 1 to 656 of the family's 3401-position model. Lineage: Eukaryota; Fungi. The record is from RNAcentral.